GAAAAAUAAAUGAAAUAUAGAAUACAAAAUAUCAAUAAAACUUAGAAUUGGUUUUUUAAAGGUCAACAAAAUUAACAAAUCUUUAGCUAGAUUAACCAAGACAAAAAAAGACUCAAAUAAAUAAAAUCAGAAAUAGAAGAGGUUAUAUUACAAUUGAUAGCACAGAAAUAAAAAGGCUAGUAAGAGACUACUAUGAACAACUACACACUAACAAAUUGGAUAACCUAAAGAAAUGAAUAAAUCCCUGAAACAUACAACCUACCAAGACUGAAUGAUGAAUAAACAGAAAAUCUGAACAGCCCCACAAUUAGUAAGGAGAUCAAAUUAAUAAUCAUAAUCUCCCAACAAAGAAGAGCUCAGAUGCUUUCACUGGAUAAUUCUACCAAAGAUUUAAAGAAGAAUUAAUGCCAGUCUUUCUCAAACUCUUCCAAAACAUUGAAGUGGGAAACCUGAAGCCAGAAUUACCCUGAUACCAAAGCCAAAGACUUUACGUUAAAGAAAACUACAAGUCAAUAUUCCUGAUGAACAUAGAUGCAAAAAUUCUCAACAAAAUGAUAGCAAACUGAAUUCAACAGCACAAUCAAAGGAUCAUACACUCUGAGUGGGAUUUAUCCCUCAGAUGGGAGAAUGGCUCAGCAUCUAAAAAUCAGUAAAUGUGAUACACAGCAUUAACAGGACAAAGGAUAAAAAUCAUACUGUCAUGUCAAUAGAUGCAGAUAAAGCAUUUGUCAAAAUUCAAACACCAUUUCAUGAUUAAAACAUUCAACAAACUAAGAAUAGAAGAAAAUUACCUCAACAAAAUUAAGGCCAUUAAUGAAAAUACCACAGCUAACAUCACCUGAAUAGUGCAAAACUAAAAGCUUUUCCUCUAAUCAGGAAGACAGCAAGGAUGCCCACUCUCACCACUUCUAUUCAACAUAGUACCAGAAGUCUUAGCUAGAGCAAUGAAUCAAGAAGAUAUAAACAUCACCCAAAUCAAAAAAGAAGUAAAAUUAUCUCAAUUUGCAGAUGACAUAAUCUUAUGUGUAGAAAACUCUAAAGAUUUCACCAAAAAUUUGUUAGCAAAUUCAGCAAAGUUGAAACAAAUUCAGUUGCAGAAUACAAAAUCAACAUAGAAAACCAUUUGUUUUUAUACACUAACAAUGACCUGUCCACAUGAAAAAGAAUGAAGUUGGACCCUUAUCUUAUAUCAUACACAAAGUUAACCCAAAAUCAAACUUAAACACUGAUACGUAAAACCUGAAAUUAUAAAACUCCUAAAAGAAAACACAAGAACUUUGCAACAUUGGUCUUGGCGACGAUUUCUUGGAUAUCGUUACCAAAAACAAGGCAACAAAAGCAAAAAUAGACAAGUGGGACUACAUCAAACCAAAAAGCUUCUGUGCAGCCAAAGAAACAAUCAACAGAAUAAAAAGGCAGCCUACAGAAUGGAAGAAAAUAUUUGCAAACCGUACAUUUGAUAAAAGGUUAAUAUCCAAAAUAUAUUAGGAACUCACACAACUCAAUAGCAAAAAAAAAAAAAAUGCAAAUAACCCAAUUUAAAAAUGAGCAAAGGACUUGAAAAGACAUUCCUCCAAAGAGACAUCUAAAAAGUCAAUUAUAUGAAAAAAUAUCCAACAUUACUGAUCAUCAGGGAAAUGCAAAUCAAAACCAUAAUGAGGUAUUACCUCAUACGUGCUAGAAUGGCCAUUAUCAAACACACACACACACACACACACACACACACACACCAGGAAAUACCAAGUGUUAACAAGAAUGUGAAGAAACUGAAACCCUUGUGCAUUGAUGGUAGGAAUGUAAAGUGGUGUAGCCACUACAGAAAACGGUAAGAAGGUUCCUCAGAAAAUUAAAACUGGUAUUAGCAUAUGACCCCGCAAUCCCACUUCUGGGUAUUCAUCCAAAAGCAUUGAAAUCAGGAUCUCAAAAAGAUACUUACACUUCCACGUUCACUGCAACAUUAUUCACAAUAGCCAAGAGUUAGAAACAAUCCAAAUGCACAUCAGUGGACAAAUGGAUAAAGAAAAUGUGGUAUAUACAUGCAAUGGAAUACUAUUCAGUCUUUAGAAAGAAGGAAAUCCUUUCAUAUGCCACAACAUAGAUGAACUUGGAGGACAUUAAGCUAAGUGAAAUGAGCCAGUCACAGAAGGAUAACUACUGCAUGAAUCCACUUACAGGAGGUAUCUAAAAUCGUCAAAUUCAUAGAAGCAAAAAGCAGAAUGGUGGUUGUGGGGGCUAGGGGAAGGGGAAAAUGGGAAGUUGCUGUUCAGUGGGCAUAGUUUCAGUCACACAAAACAAAAACUUCUAAAGGUCUGCUGUACAACAACUUGCAAAUAGCUAACAAUAUUGUAUUGUACACUGGAAAAUUUAUUAAUAGGGUAGAUCUCAUGUGUUUUUUAUCACAGCUCUUCUAAUGGGAAAAUGGGGAAAGGCAUGAGCAGAAAAUUCAUAAAAUUAGACCAAAAAAUGGCAAUUAAACAUAUGAAAAAUGUUUACCCUCACUCAUCAUUACAGAAAUGAAUUUCAAGUACACUCAGAUACUAUUUCUUUCCUGAAAAGUAAGAAAUUUGAAAAAAAAAAAAAACACUGUAACAACGCACUGAGCAAGGCCGUGGAGAAGCUUGCACUCUCAUACCUCGCUGAUCGAAAAGCAAACUGAUGGACAUUCCAGUUUUGCACAACCACAUCUCACCUGUUAGAGGAGAAUCUGGGAAUAUCUAAGGGGAACUUCAUAUGCACUUAUCUUUUGACCCAAGAAUCUCACUUCUAGGAAUCUACCCUGAAGACACACCUCCAACCAUAUGACAAUUCGUAUGUGCAGGUUUACUCAUUGCAGCAUUGCUUGUCAUUACAAGACACUGGAAACAGCCUAAAUGCACAUCCAUAGAAGAACAGUUGGGUAACCUAUGGUACACAGUGAAGUAUUAGGAAGCUCUCUUUGAAAUGACAUCGGGUAAUUUCCAGGAUAUGCUUUUAAUCACAAAAGGCAAUGCUCUUUGUACAGAGGAAAGCUGACCAUACCCUCCUUCCCAGAGGCAGGCAGCGCAAAUUGGAACUGGGAGGUGUUUUAACUCUAAUCAAAUUCAAAGUUUUGAUUAUUACACAAGAGUGGGUAUCUAAUUAUCAACUGAGACUUUGUCUUCUGACAAAGUAACUAUAGAAUUCUUUAUGAAUAAACAGAAGAAACCUAAAGUCUGGUGGAGUUUUCACCUAGACCAAGAGGGAAAUUUAUCUCACUAAAUAAAUUCUAAAGGGGGAAUGAGCUAUAACAUACAGUUUUGAUUGCAUCCCACCAGUUAUGCCUGUUCAGCAUAAAGUUACAAUCCACUGCUGAGUCAUGGUCACCAUAAGCAGUCAUUGCUCCCAAACAUGAGACAGAAGGCUAACCCAGCCCAUGGAUGAAAUGCUCUCCACAAGUGUACGUGAGAUGGACUUUAAAUAUUUCCUCCUCUUAAUUCAGGCCACCUUGGUGAUGUACUCUUGCUAUAGGUGUGGUUGGAGAGUUUUCUGGAAGCAUCUCUCUCACUGCUAUACUUCCACUGCUAUACCCUGAAUACAUAGAUUCCUAAAGGUUGACUUGCCAACAGCCAAGCUGAGCACUGACCUCAGAAAAGCAAUUCUUCCUUCCGGUUAUGCAUAAUCUGGGGAAGUGCCUUCCAAAGACAGAGAAAGAGGGCAGUGAUCCCUGAGACUGGCUGCAUGCAUGUCCAAAGAGCACAGGAGGAAAGGAAGAAGCACACACAAUAAGAAAAGAUCUUCCCCCGCAAAAGGAUCACAGUUUGUCUCCCUGCCAGGGAGGUGAGGAAACACAGGCCCUUUGAAGCUCAUCCACACCGCUCAGCACGAAGGCCUUGUUCUCAGGGGCCUGCUUCUCAAUGAGGCGGAUCUGCUUGAGG
RNAcentral lists this long non-coding RNA (3893 nucleotides) under Homo sapiens (human). RNAcentral describes it as "HSALNT0274951". Lineage: Eukaryota; Metazoa; Chordata; Mammalia; Primates; Hominidae. The record is from RNAcentral.